Molecule: ribosomal RNA, 469 nt
Filed under: uncultured bacterium
Lineage: Bacteria
Description: bacterial SSU rRNA
Rfam family: Bacterial small subunit ribosomal RNA
Source: RNAcentral
GGAUGAACGCUAGCGGCAGGCCUAAUACAUGCAAGGCGAAGGGGCAGCAAUGUCACUGUCGUACGGGUGCGUAACGCGUAUGCAACCUACCUAUCACAGGGGAAUAGCCUUUGGAAACAGGGAUUAAUACCGCAUAAAGCAGGGACACCGCAUGGUGAUAUUGCUAAAGAUUUAUCGGUGAUAGAUGGGCAUGCGUCUGAUUAGUUAGUUGGCAGGGUAACGGCCUACCAAGACGAUGAUCAGUAGGGGGCGUCAGAGCGUGGUCCCCCACACUGGCACUGAGAUACGGGCCAGACUCCUACGGGAGGCAGCAGUAGGGAAUAUUGGGCAAUGGAUGCAAGUCUGACCCAGCCAUGCCGCGUGCAGGAAGAAGGUCCUCUGGAUUGUAAACUGCUUUUGUCGGGGAAGAAUAGGUCUCUUGCGAGGGAUUGUGACGGUACCCGAUGAAUAAGCCGCGGCUAACUACGUG